RNAcentral lists this non-coding RNA (572 nucleotides) under Candidatus Endomicrobiellum trichonymphae. RNAcentral's name for it is "Candidatus Endomicrobium trichonymphae Bacterial large subunit ribosomal RNA". It matches the Rfam family "Bacterial large subunit ribosomal RNA", at positions 1 to 586 of the family's 2925-position model. Lineage: Bacteria; Pseudomonadati; Elusimicrobiota; Endomicrobiia; Endomicrobiales; Endomicrobiaceae. The record is from Rfam by way of RNAcentral.
GACCAAGCUAAUAAGUGCAUAUGGUGAAUGCCUUGGCUAAGACUGUCGAUGAAGGACGUGGUAAGCUGCGUUAAGCGUCGGGGAGGUGCAAACAACCUUUGAUCCGGCGAUCUCCGAAUGGGGUAACCCACUGCAGAGUAAUCUGCAGUAUCCGAGAGGAAGGCAACCCGGGGAAGUGAAACAUCUCAGUACCCGGAGGAAAAGAAAUCAACCGAGAUACCGAAAGUAGUGGCGAGCGAAAUCGGUAUAGCCUAAACCAUUGUGUUUACACAAUGGGGUUGCAGGACCGCGUGAGUAGAGUUACCAAUCAAAAAGCUAAUUGAACGGUUUGGAAAAUCCGACCAUAGAAGGUGAAAGUCCUGUAAGUGAAAGUUUUUUGACUCGAAGCGGUAUCCUAAGUACCGUCGGACACGUGAAAUCUGGCGGGAAUCAGGGGGGACCACCCUCCAAGGCUAAAUACAAGUCUUAGACCGAUAGUGAACUAGUACCGUGAGGGAAAGGCGAAAAGAACCGCGGGAGCGGAGUGAAAUAGAACCUGAAACCGUAUGCAUACAAGCAGUUCGAGGCCUAUG